ACUGCAGCAGGAGAGCUGGUCCUGGUCCGACUGCCUGUCAGCCUCUUAGUCAGUGAGGAUUGUCAGAAUGUCAGCAGCAGCUUAGUCAAACCCCCUGUGGCUGACUUGAAGAGAACCACUUCAUCUCUGUGUCUUCAACAUGGACGAGUCUUUGCUUCAGAUGAGUCUGCCCGAAGUGGAGAGGAUGGCCUCAGACCAACACUUACCCACAGAGGGCAGCACUAUGUCCACGUUGCACUUUUGACGCAGCCUGAAGUUUGGACAUAAGGAAGAGUUCCACACAACUGAUGGAG
Molecule: long non-coding RNA, 293 nt
Organism: Lates calcarifer (barramundi perch)
Lineage: Eukaryota; Metazoa; Chordata; Actinopteri; Centropomidae
Exons: 3
Source: RefSeq, a predicted model, not a curated record